This is a long non-coding RNA of Nomascus leucogenys (northern white-cheeked gibbon), 965 nucleotides long. RefSeq lists it as uncharacterized. The transcript is spliced from 2 exons. The record is from RefSeq and is a predicted model, not a curated record. NCBI's taxonomy places the organism in Eukaryota, Metazoa, Chordata, Mammalia, Primates, Hylobatidae.
CUCCUCUGUCUGGGUGUCUUCAUCAUCUGCUACUUCCUGGGCCCCCGCUGUCUCCUUCCUUGGGUGGGGAGCUCCGUAUACUCCUAUAACUCCUAGAGGGAGGCAGCAUUGGGUGAUGCCCAGGCUGAAGAGCCCUCAGCAUUCCUGCCCUGGACCUUCAUGCCAGCCCCUUUCCCUCCCUUGAACCUGGUUCUGCAUUCCCCACCACCUCCCAGGAUGGCAAGGAAGUGAGAGGUGGGCCUUUGGUCCCACCCCCAUCCCCUCUAGAUCCCACCCCUGAAGUCUCAUCGCUUUAAGCACUGCCCUUUCCAGGUGCUUCUUUUCAUGUGAUGAGGCCCUGUGAAGAAGAGACAGGAUAUACAGACGGGGGCAGCUGGAGACAGUUAUGAUGAGUGCCAGCUUUGUGUCUGAGCAUUCUGCUCCCAUGGACAUCCCCAACAACAGCAGGGACCAACCCAUGUCACUGUCAAAGGGCAGCUGAGAAGGGCCUGAGCCCCCAGGGCCCCUCACCUGGUGGGAAUGAGAGUGUGGGGAGCUUGCUUCUUGGCUGAAUGGUCUGCUGGGGUCUGGCAUAGAAAGCAGAUGGCUUAAUUCGGUCUGGUUCCUUUGGAGAGGGCUGGGUUACCUGGGCCCUGUGGCCUUGGGCCUAGAGAAGGGACACUGGGCUUGGACCCUGGUUGCUGGCCAUUCUUACCUGUCCUACUCCCCAGUUCAGGCUUCAGAGAGCCCCUGACGCCUGCAGGAACAUGGCAGAGGAGAUGCCGUCUGUCUUCGCAAACUACGUCCUCCCUCCUUGCUGCCUCUUCCCACCAGCCUGACUUAUCCAGGGACAGAGCAGUAGGUGCCUGGCACUCCUCGAUGCCCAGUGAAAGCAGACUGUGCUCCCCCACCCCCACGCCCCAUGCUCACUGGCUCAUUUCUUGGGAGGGCUUAGACCUGGAUAAUCUAAGUUCCCUUGGACCCUG